Sarcophilus harrisii (Tasmanian devil) is the source of this 1692-nucleotide long non-coding RNA. The record is from Ensembl. Lineage: Eukaryota; Metazoa; Chordata; Mammalia; Dasyuromorphia; Dasyuridae.
CUGAUAUGUGUUUCAUUUAUUCCAGGAAGGCUUUAACUGGCAAAUGACAUAGAAAAGAAAAAUAGAUCUUAAAAAUGAAAUAUGUAUUUGCCAGAAAGAGAUCAAUUUUUUAACUUCUAGGGAAAAUUCUCAAUAUUGGGGGUUCAAAGCUAGAGAAGGAAGACAUUUUACAUCGUCAUAUUUGUAGCUUCCCCAAAGCAGAGAAGAAUCAGUGAAUCAGACUAUUUCAAAUGUAAUGUGAUCCCAGCAAAUUGGUGAAACUCGACUCUGGUAAAUAAGGCAUUGCUUCUAGCAAUUUCCCCCUUUUCUAUCAUAUCAUCCCUCUACAAGUUUUUUGUUUUGUUUUUUAGAGGGGAAAAAACUUAUUCCCUCGGAGUGGAGGCAAGGGUAUUGGUAAAGGGGAAAGCUGUGCCUGAAGGAAAUAAUAGAACCACUCAUAUUAGAGUCAAGAACCAAGCAAAGUUGUCCUGCUCACUCUUUUUCAGCUAUUCAGCUAUUACCUGAAGCUUUUCAUCACUGUUAUUGCAUGAACAAGAAUAAAUCUUGUUGCACAUAUUACAUUGCUGCUGAAGACUUUUUCCUGCAACCAUCAAAAAAAUCGAUUGUCAGGGUUUGUCACCUCCCGGGGCUACAGAGCUCACUUUCAGAAGGACUUUUGUUCCUGAAGCAAGCUUACAGUCUUUUUGAAGUUUCCUGAUAACUCCCAAGGAAGCAGUGUGAGCUAAACCAACAAACAUGGGAGAAAUUACAGUCUCACAAUAAAAACUGACCCAAGUAUUAAACUGGAGUUUAAAUGAAUCUUGGUUCCUUUUGUUAGCACCCAUCCCCACUCACCCUGGAGUCUACUAUAGACCUACAUCUAGCCUCUUAUCCCAGUGGAAAGAGACCUAGAUUUAGAGUAAGAUGACCUGAUUUUAAAUGAUUAGCAGUUAGGUGGAACAGAGCCUGAAGUCAGGAAGGCCCAAUUGGAAAUCUAGCCUCAAACACUUACUAGCUGGACAAGUCAAUGUGCACGUACCAUUGGAGGAAUAUGUAAAUUGGGGUUAAUAACAGCAUUUACCUCACAGGGUUAUGAUGAGGAUCAAAUGAGAUCUUUGUACAUGAUAGUUACUGUCUCCCUCAUUUUUGGGUAGGUUAUUCAACUUUUAUAGAGUUAUUCUUCAUCAUCUGUAAAAUGAGAGCGCUCUAAGAUGCUCUGAUUUUUCCGUGACCCACCAGAGCCCCUACACUUUAUUUUAUUCAGGGGUCUCCUUCUUUUGUUACAUACCUUUAUAUUCAAUUUCAUCACUACCUUCUUUUUCAUACAAAGAUCUUUUCAGAUCUUUCUAUACAAAAUUGAUUUAAGAACAGAUAAUAAUGGAUAAUAAUAAAAUAAUGCUUUGAAAUCACUUACACAGAGGACUGAAAUAACACUCAUCUAUAUUUCAGAGGGAACUCUGGCCUCUUUGAUGUAUGUGUACCAUAUUUAAUUAUCUACCUUUCUGACAAAUGAAGGUCUUGAAAACAUAGUCUUCCCAUUCCAUAGCCUCGGGGUUCUGGACUGCAAGUAUUUUUUUUUCUGGGCUCCAGCAAUAGCACGGACUGUUCUUUGUUUUCUCUUGCCACAAUACCUACAUUUGUAGCUAGAAACCAAAGCUAAUGGUGGACCAGAAAUACAGUCCCUUUCACUGAUUGCCCCUUAAAUACACCAAG